UUUUUAUUAUGCGGUUUAUUAGCUUUUAUUUAAUUAAAAUUAUAUACAUAAGAAAUAAUAUAAAAAAUAUUUAAGAAAUAAAUAAACCAAUUUACGAAAAUAUACUUAAUCUAAAUUCAUAAUUAAAACUUAAUUUAAAUUACAUUAAUAAUAAAUAAUAUAUAAAAUUUUAUAAACUUAAAAAAAUUAACAAAUAAACUAAAAUUAAAAUAACAGCAAUUUGAAAAAAAAAAACUAAGAAACAAAAAAACAUCAAAACCGCUUUCAACCCGCAGUCUGAACUACGUUUCUCCCAAUUCUCCCAACCCGCAACAAAGUUGUGCACCCCCAAACCAAACCAACCGCAGAUCCACCGACGGUUGCCUUUUAGCGCUGAUCCAACUGUGGCGCGACUACAUUCGUCGUUUGCAUGCGUUCCAUUUGCAGUUGGACAACGCACCCCCAAAACUCAUACGUCGUUCGUACUACGGCAGGGGUUAACCGCAGUUCCAGUUGCGGUUCGAUAUGCGGCACCCCCAAAACCAAUCUGCCCUUCGUACUGCAGCAGGUGUUAACCGCAGUGCCAUUUGCGAUUAACCCCGCCGAUCCCAUUCCCACAUUUCAGAUACACAUUGAUAAAUAGUUUAGAUGAAAAAUGCAACCACAAACAAACCAUGAUUCUCACACCCAC
RNAcentral lists this long non-coding RNA (670 nucleotides) under Vigna radiata. RNAcentral's name for it is "long non-coding RNA (VRAD_LNC003053)". Lineage: Eukaryota; Viridiplantae; Streptophyta; Magnoliopsida; Fabales; Fabaceae. The record is from RNAcentral.